AAGUCGAACGAUGACGUCACUGCUUGCAGUGAUUGAUUAGUGGCGAACGGGUGAGUAACACGUGAGGAACUUGCCCAUGAGCGGGGGACAACAUUCGGAAACGGAUGCUAAUACCCCAUAGGUGGAUUGGUCGCAUGACUAAUUCAUUAAAGGUGGCUCUGCUACCGCUCAUGGAUAGCCUCGCGGCGUAUUAGCUAGUUGGUAAGGUAAUGGCUUACCAAGGCAGUGAUACGUAGCCGACUUGAGAGGGUGAUCGGCCACACUGGGACUGAGACACGGCCCAGACUCCUACGGGAGGCAGCAGUAGGGAAUCUUCCACAAUGGGUGCAAACCUGAUGGAGCAAUGCCGCGUGAGUGAAGAAGGUCUUCGGAUCGUAAAGCUCUGUUGUUAGAGAAGAACACGUGCUAGGUAACUACUAGCGCCUUGACGGUAUCUAACCAGAAAGUCACGGCUAACUACGUGCCAGCAGCCGCGGUAAUACGUAGGUGACAAGCGUUGUCCGGAUUUAUUGGGCGUAAAGGGAGCGCAGGCGGUCUGUUUAGUCUAAUGUGAAAGCCCACGGCUUAACCGUGGAACGGCAUUGGAAACUGACAGACUUGAAUGUAGAAGAGGAAAAUGGAAUUCCAAGUGUAGCGGUGGAAUGCGUAGAUAUUUGGAGGAACACCAGUGGCGAAGGCGAUUUUCUGGUCUAACAUUGACGCUGAGGCUCGAAAGCGUGGGGAGCGAACA
RNAcentral lists this ribosomal RNA (730 nucleotides) under uncultured Carnobacteriaceae bacterium. RNAcentral describes it as "bacterial SSU rRNA". It matches the Rfam family "Bacterial small subunit ribosomal RNA", at positions 59 to 774 of the family's 1533-position model. The record is from RNAcentral. Lineage: Bacteria; Bacillati; Bacillota; Bacilli; Lactobacillales; Carnobacteriaceae.